UCAAAAAUUAAUUAUUUUUUAAAAAAUUGGUUUUGAGUUAAUAAUUAUAUGUAAAUAUUUGUUUAUUUAUUUCUUAAUGAUUAUAUUUUAGCAAUUUUUAAUUUUAGUUUUUAAGUUUUCUUAGAACUAUAUAAACUCAUUUAGGUUUGUAUAAAGUUGUGCCAGCAUACGCGGUUAUACAUCUAAGUCUAAUCAAUUAUUUUGGUAUUUAUUAAUUUUAUAUUUUGAAAUAAUAUUUAUUAAUUUUCGAGUGAAAUUGAAAUUUUUCUUUUAUUUUUGGUUUGAGAUUAUAAGAAAGCUAUUUUUAAAAACUAGGAUUAGAUACCCUAUUAUUUUAGCUGUAGUUUUUAUCCAUGGGAUUAAUAGUUAUGGUCUUUAAAUUAAAACAAUUUGGCGGUAGUUUAUUUCUUUUCAGAGGAAUCUGCCAUGUAAUUGAUAAUCCACGUUGGGUUUCACUUUAAUUUUUGUUUGUAUACCUCUGUCAUUGAGUGUCUUUAAAAAGAAUUUUCACAUUUUAUUAUUUAAUUAAUGUCAAGUCAAGGUGCAGCCAUAUUAAAGAUAUAGGUGGAUUACAUUUAACUUAAAUUUAUUGAAUUAAUUAUUUUAAUUUAAUUAUGAAAUAGGAUUUGAAAGUAAAUUCUAAUAACUUUUAGAAUUGAUUAUAGCUCUAAACUAUGUACACAUCGCCCGUCGCUCUCAUUAUUAAAGUGAGAUAAGUCGUAACAAAGUAAUUUUACUGGAAAGUGAAAUUGAAAUAAU
Molecule: non-coding RNA, 759 nt
Filed under: Piesma cf. maculatum
Lineage: Eukaryota; Metazoa; Arthropoda; Insecta; Hemiptera; Piesmatidae
Source: RNAcentral